UGGGGAAUUUUGGACAAUGGGCGAAAGCCUGAUCCAGCAAUGCCGCGUGUGUGAAGAAGGCCUUCGGGUUGUAAAGCACUUUUGUCCGGAAAGAAAUCCUUGGCUCUAAUACAGUCGGGGGAUGACGGUACCGGAAGAAUAAGCACCGGCUAACUACGUGCCAGCAGCCGCGGUAAUACGUAGGGUGCAAGCGUUGAUCGGAAUUACUGGGCGUAAAGCGUGCGCAGGCGGUUUGCUAAGACCGAUGUGAAAUCCCCGGGCUCAACCUGGGAACUGCAUUGGUGACUGGCAGGCUAGAGUAUGGCAGAGGGGGGUAGAAUUCCACGUGUAGCAGUGAAAUGCGUAGAGAUGUGGAGGAAUACCGAUGGCGAAGGCAGCCCCCUGGGCAAUACUGACGCUCAUGCACGAAAGCGUGGGGAGCAAACAGGAUUAGAUACCCUGGUAGUCCACGCCCUAAACGAUGUCAACUAGUUGUUGGGGAUUCAUUUCCUUAGUAACGUAGCUAACGCGUGAAGUUGACCGCCUGGGGAGUACGGUCGCAAGAUUAAAACUCAAAUGAAUUGACGGGGUCAUA
RNAcentral lists this ribosomal RNA (574 nucleotides) under uncultured bacterium. Its description in RNAcentral is "partial 16S ribosomal RNA". It matches the Rfam family "Bacterial small subunit ribosomal RNA", at positions 355 to 923 of the family's 1533-position model. The record is from RNAcentral.